This 23189-nucleotide long non-coding RNA is filed under the name Solanum tuberosum (potato). Its description in RNAcentral is "long non-coding RNA (STUB_LNC008751)". Lineage: Eukaryota; Viridiplantae; Streptophyta; Magnoliopsida; Solanales; Solanaceae. The record is from RNAcentral.
UUUUUUUUUUUGUGAUUUUCAAUUGUAAUUCCUUAACUUUAAACUUUUUAUAAUUUUAAAGUUUGUUUCGAUAGAUGGUAAAAAGAUUUGUUUAGAUAUAAAAAUAAUGAUUUUUAUUAUAUUUAGUAAUAAUUUAAAUUUUAAAUUAUUUUUUUAAAGAAAAGUAGAAAACUAUAUUAAACUUCAAUAAACUCAAAUAGAGGAGCAAAUCACACGACACUAUAAGUGUCUUUUUGAUGCAAUUCAAAAAAUAUAUAUAUAUAUAUAUUUAUUUUUUAUUUUUUUUAUUUUUUUUUAUCAUUUUCUAUUCAUAUCUUAAAAUUUUCAUAACUAAUGGACACCAAGAAAAUUCCAAAAAUAUUUUGUACAAUGUGCGACUGCAUGACAUGCAUUUAUUUUACUCAUAUAAGUCUUUUAUGUUUGUGCAAUUGUGUUGUCACUGUACACAUUCACGUGUGUCGUGUCUUUGUAUAUUUGAGGGUCCGGAGAGGCUAGUGCAUGCAUAUGUGUAGAUAUUAUCUAAAUUUUAAAUAGACAGAAAAAUUAAUUUUCGAUAUACUCCUGAUUUAAUAAAGAAAAAAUAUGUAUUUUAAGUAGUUUAAAAAAAAAAGAAAUACAAAAUUUGGAAUCAUAAUUUGAUUUGGACUCAGUUAUUUUAUUUAGGAUUCUCUACAUCUAUAAAUAGUCCAUAGAAAUAAUUAUUGGGGGAUUAAUCAUAGGGCAUCAAGUAAAAAGUUGUCAAUACUUUUUAGGGUUCCUUUCUUCUUCUUUCUGUUCUUAGAGAUUAGUGGCUAAAGCCCUUGUUCUAGGGCUGUAGCUACAGAUUCAAUGAUGAUUAUUAAAGGCUUUAUGAAUUAAUUUUUGGUUGUCAUUAUAAGUUACUUCUAUAUUCUUAUUUUAGUAUUUUGUGCUUGAUCACCAUGAGAUAAAUCUAUUGUCUAAUCUUAAAAUCGAGAGAGGAGGGAUUAGAUAGAACAGAGAAUAUAGAGAGCUCGGUCCACCCAUUAAAUUGAGGUGAUUAGUGUUUAGGAGUGACGCCUAGACGAACACCUUGCUUGGUUACGAAAUAGGAUGAAAUAUAAAUGCUCGUCAGUUAGUCUAUUUAUCCCCGCUCAACGACGUAGUUAGAUAGCUAACUAGGGUAGGCGACGAGAAGCGUAUAACCCGGAUCAUAUCAUCAACCCUAUAAACCAAUAACUUGACAACUAAAAUUAAUUCUAAGCCAAAAAUAUGAUACAUGAAAUCCAAUACAUGCUACAGCCCUGGAAUUUUCCAACUAUUGUAAGUAAUUUUAUUAUUUUGUUCUUGCAUUCUUCUCUUUUUGGCUCUCUUAAAUAAAUAAUUAGAUCAAUAUAAUUUAGUAAAAAUAGUUAAUUGACAAGUCCUUUGGGUUCGAUAAUCUGGUCUUUUUAAGAGCCACUAUAUUACUUGCGUGACCGCGUACACUUGCGUGUGCAAUUGGGAGCAACACCUAUCCCAUCGUAAGGCGAGACAAUGUUUCAACUAACAACUAACUCUGCCCUUUGCCUUAAUUCGCAAUCUUCAUAUUUUCUUAUUUAAGGUCGUGUCCUCGAUAAACUGAAGAUGCGUCAUGUUAUGUCUAAUCACCACUCACCACCAAUACUUCUUCGGUCUCCCUCUAUCUCUCCUAAAAUCAACCAUGCAUUGCCAACCCUCCACACCUUGUCACGGGACAUCUACUCUUCACAUGUUGAAACCAUCUUAGUCUUGCUCCCUCACCUUGUCACUCUCACUUUGUCUCAAAUAUCCUGAUUUAUGAUCCUAUAUCUCAUAGUGUGCCCACACAUGUAUUUCAACAUCAUUAUUUUCGUAACUUUCAUCUUCCGGACAUAAUACUCCACUUCAAAUAAAAUUAUAAAUUGAGAAUAGCCAAUUAAUACUUACGACCUAUUGGUUGAUAUGACACAAAAAACUUUUGAUACUUAUCAAAUAUAUAUGAUCAUAAUUAAAAAAUAUUUAAAAAUUAAUUUAAUCAUCUAAUUAUAAACUUAGCUAAACUCUCUCCAAAUUACAUCUUGGACUAAAUAUUGAAGCAAACAAUAUAUGCAGUUGAAAAUGCUGUCCUCAUAAUUUCCUCUUUUAAUAUAUAAGGAUAUUCAUAACGUCAUGCACAAUGGCCUACUUUGUUAACAUUCAAAAUCACAUAAAAAAAAGUGGUCAAUUUUAACGCAUAUAGGAAAAAGCAAUAAAUAAAUAUGUCAAGAUAAUUUUUUUUAUUUUAUCCUCAAAAUUAAUUAAUAUAAGUAGUGCAAUUAAAUACUCAUAUUGAUCAAAAAGUUUAUUAUUAAUCUCUAGCUAGUAGUCAAAAGUCUCACCAAAAUACUCUAUUUUUUGAAAAAUAUUUCACUUACCAACUAAACACCAAAAAAAAAAUAUUUUUAUAAAAAAUUGCUUUUGCAAUAAUUAACUGUCCUUUUUUAAUAAACCAAUCAUGCAAAAGCCUGAACUUACAUAAUUUACAUAUCUUUCUAUUGUCCCAAAAUACACUUUGAAUAUCUAAGUUUGGUGUAAAAACAAAAUUCUAGAACAAACCCAACUAAUGUUCCAACUUUUUUGGUAUAUUUCUAGAAAGAAAAAAAAAAACAAAUAAACCAACUAGGCCCCUACUACUACUUUGAAGCAGAUCCAGUAUUUUGGAGUCAAUGGGAACAGAAUAUCAAUGCAUUUAUUAUUAAAAUUUUGUCAAACAAAGGGAUUUUUAUAUUAUAAUAUAUAUUGAUUAUACAUUUAUUUUAGACUGAAUAUAUAUUGAUGAUAGUUCGUGAGGAUAUGUAUUACGGUAAAAGAUUAAUAGGUAGCAAUAUGUUGUCUUGUCAUCUUUUUCUAUUGCUCAUGUACUUUCUUAUUCUUCGAUUUUUGUUAUAGUUUGUACUUUGAUUAUCAUAUUAUUUUAUUGUAGUUACUGUCUUCAUACAAGUUGUUUUAUAUGUUAUGUCUCAUACUUCUAUGGAAUAUUAUCUUUUCUAGACUUUUUAGACUAGUUUUUCCACGAGUCAAAAAUUAUCAAAAAUAGUGUAUUUAUUUUUGUAAGAAUAAAGUUUGCUUACACUUUAUCUGUCAUACUUCACUUUAUAAGAUUAUAGUGGCAUGUCAUUAUUGUUGAGUAUAUAUUGAUGAUGGCUACUAAUAAUUAUAAUUAAGCGGAUGAAUUUGUCUUUUAAUCAGCUGACUUAAAGAUAUUAAGAUCCCUAAAAUAAACUGUGUCAGAAGCGAAUCCAAGUUUCGAAGACUUUGAAUGUACCAAUAUAAGCUCUAGGCUAAAUUUAAAAAAAGAAAAAGAAAUAAGCACUAGCCAUGUGGGUGAUUUUACUAUCUUGUGCUAGCAACACAAGGGCACUCCUUUGCUCUUUAUGGAUGCAUUGUUAAUUAUAUCCUACUUUCCGUCAUUUUUUUAAGAUAGAUAUAUAGAUAUAUACACAUGAUUUUUUUCAAAGUUAAUGAAUGGACGUACACCUUUACUAAACCAUGUGGGUCCACCUCUGCUUAGUGUAACCAUAUAUAUAUUUCGCUUACAAGGUAUGAUUUAGUAGUCACUAAAAUGAACGCAUGACAUCGAGAUUAGGAAUUAAAAAAAUAUAUAUUCAGUGAUUUUUCCUAUUAAAUACUCAGUACUUAUUAUAUUUUAUUAAGAAGUAGCAAAGAUUCGAUAGAAUAAUAGAUUAAAUGCAAAUUAAUUCAAACACUGCUAUUAUAAAAAAAAAAUUAUAUACAUUUACAAGAUUUAUUCAAUUAUAAGUACACUUGAAUACAAAAGAAAAAAUAAAAAGAAAAAAAUUAUAUAUAUUAAUGGUCCUCGUGAGGUUGGUGGUAUCUUUGAAUCUUCAAGAGGGAUAAUAAAUACUUAAAAUUCUAUACUCCACAAAAUUAAAUAAAUUUCUGAAAGUCAGAGCAUCCAAAGAUGAUUUUAAAAUAAGUUCACACUCCACACUACACACUGCACACUACACACUACACACCUAUAAUAAAAAUAUUCGUUCCGUCUCAAAAUACUUGUUAUAUUUUACUUUUUUUAAAUAAAAUUUCAAUAUAUAUUUUAAACCAUAUUAAAAUGAUAUUACAAUUUGUAAUACUUUUCAUUUAUUUUAUUAAUAUUUAAAUUCUAGCUUUAGAAUAUAAAAUUGAUUUAACUCUAAAGAUCAAUCACUCAAUUCACCGAUUUAGACUCAACUCCUCAAUUUACAUUAUCAGUAAUUUUGAUUCACCGAUUUAGACUCAAACUCCUCGAUUUAUAUUAGCGAUCAUAUAAGUCAAAUCGAGCCUCUAGAUUCUUUCUUAAUAUAUUCAUUCCAAAAGAAUGCAAACACUUCUUAAGUUGGGUCUCAUAUUUCUCUCAUAUACCAUAUUCGUAUCGUAUCACAAUGUUCUAUAUGAAUCCACUUUUUGAAGAAUAUUAAUUAAUUAACUCUUAAAAAAUAAAACAUGACAAUUAUUUCGCGAUGCAUGGAGUAAGAAAAGCAAAGAAAAACUAAACAAAAUUCAAAAAUGUUGGUAAAUAAUUUUUAAAAAUGUAUCCAACCCCCCACCCCUCCAAUCCCACCCCACAAAAAAAAGUGUAAAAAUAAAUAAAUAAAAAUUAAAAAAAAGUCCUUGAGGAAUGGGCUGAGCUGAGCAUAGCAGAGAUUAAAGCAUAGUACCAAAAAAAACAUUUUUAUUGUCAUUUCAUCUUUCAGCCUACUACUGAACUAACCUUAUUUCAGUUGCAAUAUUUGAAAAAUAUUUUAAAAAAUUAAAGUACAAUAAGAACAAGUUUUAGUUAUACUUCUUGUAAACAAAUAGUACAAGUAUAUUGCAAUAAUAAUAUGAAAAAUUCAAAAUUAUUUUAAAAAAAUCAACUUAAAGGAUUAGUAUCACUAAACCUUCUUGGAUUAAGCCUUUCUCCUGUUUUUGCUGGAUCUGAUUUACAUCUUGUAAGAAGUAAUGGAUGAACACAAGCUUUACUACUUUCUUCAUUAACGGAGCUCUGCAUUUCUUCAUUUCCAUGGCUUUUUCUCGAUCCUAAAUCACCAAUUAUAGGUUUUUCGAGAACUGGAGGAGGUUUUUCUUCUUCUUCUUCGUCCUCCUCCAGUUCUCGAAUAUUAUUUUGGGGAUUUUGACUGUUCAAUGGAGAACCCCAGAAUUUACUAGCUAAUGAUGAAGAUCUAUAAGGUGCUGAUCUACAUCGAGUCAAAAUCAAAGCAUUUUUCGGUGGAUUGAUAUGAGAAUCUGCAUAGCCAUUUUCAUUUUCUUCUGAUUCAGAAAUUGCAAUUUCGGCAUUUGUUGUAACAAUUUUUUGAACUUUUUGAGCUGAUUCGACUUUUUUUACACAAUACCCAAAUGGGAAACAACAAACCCAUUUCUUCAAAUUUGAAAUCAACGAUUUGGGUCUGUGUAAUUUAAUGAUUUUGCAUUGGAAUUUACAGCAGCAUGUUGUUGUUUUUGGGGUUUUCUUCUCUUCUAUUUGUUGAUGUUUUUUUGUGGUGUUAUUGGAGGAUCUGCGAACACGAACUUGACCUAUACAAGUGACUUUUGGGGAAGAAGGUUCUUGAGUUUUUUCAAUAGCGAUAUUGUUUUUGUUUUUGCGCAUAAACAUAGGGCUAGCUCGUGUUCUUGCUCUGCUGCUUUUGCUUCCAACAUUGCUUCUUAAGAACCUCAUUAAUGGCGGUGGAAAUUUCUCUGCUCGAUUAGGACUUGAAAUGGGUUUUGAAAAUAAACUCUUCAUAUUCUUAUGACUUUUUGCUCUCUUUGUGUGUGUAUAUUUUUGUUUUUGUUGUUACUUUGUGUGUUUGUUGUUGGAGUAAUGGAGAAGAUAGAGAAGGUGUGGUUUUGUUCCUUUGCCAUGUUUCUUUCUAGUUUUUCAGUUUUUAUAUGGUAUGGUGAUUAUGGAGUACAUUUUUUGUUUUCUUUUUCUUUAGGUAUUUGGUAUCCGGAUUUUUCCGUUUUUAAUUAGAGAUUUUAAAUUCAAGUCUUGUAGGAAGAAAAUAGGCAUAAUAUAUAAACAUGAUCAUUAACUUGACUUCAACGGAUAACUAUGUCCUCCAGCAUUAAGUGUGCACAAGUAGAUAUUUAAACUUGUAUAAAAUUGAAAAAGUAGACAAACUUGUCCUACAUGACAUAAUACACAUAGGAUGCCACGUAGGACACAAAAUUAUCAUGUAGGGUGCCAUGUAGGACGAAUGUGUCCAUUUGCUUAAUUUUAUACAAGUUUAAGUGUUUGCUUGUGCACAUCCAAAAUUAAAGGUCAUAAUUGCUAGCUGAUGCCAAGUUAAAUGUCAUAUUUAUGUAUUAUGCCAAGAAAAUAUUAUUGGAUGCACCGUUUUUAAAAAUAAAUUAUGUAAUGCGCAAAUCAAAUUCUAAGUCGAUUGAAAUUCAAUUUGAAUAGCUGAUGGGAAGCAAAAAAAAAAAAAAAAAAAGUGGUGGAGCUAAGUUAUGUGUUGAGGUGUGUGAGAAUCUUAGUAACUUGAUUGAUGAGGGUCGAUUUGGAAAAAAAAAAAAAAAAAAAAAAAAAGUGGUGGAGCUAAGUUAUGUGUUGAGGUGUGUGAGAAUCUUAGUAACUUGAUUGAUGAGGGUCGAUUUUUUAUUUUUUAAUCUCUUAUUCAUUUUUCCUUCCUUUAUUCCUAUUUUUGAAAAAAAUAAUAUUAAGGAGUGUAACCAACACUCAUAUUAGAGUGAUAUAAUUAACUCAUUAGUUCUAACUAGUCAAUAACUUGAAUAUUAUAUAAUUCAGCCUAUUUUGACCUGUUUGAGUUCAAAAUCUUUUAUUUUAUAUAUAUAACAAACAAGUAUAUUAAAUACAAAAUUUGAUAAGAAUCGAAUGAUUUAAAUUAUGAUGUAUUAGUUAACCUAUUUUGAUUUAAUUCAUUUCAUUGUAAGUAACUUUUCAAUAAAGUCAAUUGAUUACCUAUUUAUUGAUUCAGUUCAUUUUGACAAUUUUUUUUAUAUGUUUGUCUACUUGCAGUCUUAAUUCUUUUUUAUGAGCUAACAAAUGAAAACUAUUUUUUGAUAAUGAAUAACAAGGAGACCCGAAUACAUAAUCUACGUCUACUCUAUAUUAUAUUAAUAAGCUGAAAUAUAUAUAUAUUAAAUGUAAUCAUUUCAUAUAAAAAUUUAAAGACAUUAAAAAACACACAUUUUUAUUUAUUUAAUUAUAUCGUUAACCUAACAAAAUGGUAAUUAAAUACCCCUGACAUCAAGAAGCUUUAAAUAUGAUGGCAAUAUUGACACAACAAGAAUAGUUUAAACCGAACACUAAUUAGUAAAAAGUUUCAAAUAAAUUUAUAGAGUUUAAAGAAUAUUGGUUCAAACAAAUUCGAUAUCACGACAUUAUAUCCACUUCCGAUUAUACCAAAACCUUGAGAUUUCUGAUAAAAAACAAAAAAAGAAUAUUAACUAUCUUACCAAAUACUCUUGGUAAUUCUUGUGAUUUUUACUUAUAUAUUGUAUGUAAUAGAGUAAAAUGAUAUUGAGGUGGUGGGGUUUGGUGCAAAAUUUAUUGUUGUAUCGUACAAGUAAUAUCAACAGAUUUGAUCAAUAGUCAACACUCACAGAAUUAUGGUCGAGUGAUAAAUAUUUUUUUAUUUUUAAUUAGAAAUUUUGAAUUUGAGUCCUCUUUAUUAUAGAGUCAUCUCUGUUAGAGUGAGUUUCACCCCUCAUACGAAUUUUUUCAAUGAAAAUUUAUAUUUAAUCAAACUUCAAUAUGAAUAUUACUCUCCGAGAAAAAAACCAAAAAAAGAAAUAUUAAAAGUUGUGCACGUUUGGCUGAAUAAGACAAGUAGAUUUUUUAAUUGUAGCUUUGUUUCCUUUCUUUUGGCUUUAUACUUUUCUUCACCACAAAAUUUCUUGGUUUUGGCAAUUUCCAACUUUUGUAUUCUUUCUUUUCAUCUUUUUCCCUUACACACAUUUAAAUUUUGUGGGGGCACAUUUAUUUUUAUAGCUAGUAGUAAAACAAGAGAAAAAGAAAUGUUGAAACUUGUAGGGUUUUGGUACAUUAAUUAAAAGUUUGGGGUUUUUACAUAAAUAGUCUGUCAAAUUUAUUGUUAAGUAUUUUUUCUAGCUUGUAUAUAUAAAUCAUAUACUAAUUUUACAUAAUUAUAAAUAUAUUAUAUAUCUAACAGAGUGACAGUUAUCUUUAGUUUAAACGAUCGAGUGAGCUGUUAUUUAAGUUAAUCCUUCUAAGAGUUUUGACUAUUAUUUAUAGAGUUAAUGGUAAAAGUAUAUCUUAACUGUCACAUAUUUAUUAUUUACUUAUCUUAACCAUAUCCAUUAUUCUAUUUACUUAUCUAAAUUAUCGUCAUCUCAACUAUUACUUCCUUUGCAAUUAAACGUAAAUACACUUUGAUAAUGAUUGAUCCGCACACGCCUGUUGUUAAUUGGAAACAAAUAUUGAUCAACUCGGCAUUGAGGUAUGUUUAAUUGCAAAUAGACUAAUAGUUUAAACAACUAGGUAUAGAGAACAUUGGAUAGCUGAAGUAUCAAACUCGUAAAAAGAUGAUAGCUUGAUAUGUUUUUGACCAUUAACUUUUAUUUAUAGUAUUUGAUUUCGACUAUUUAUUUUGUGUAGGAGCAAGUCCCAGAUGAAUACCCAAAAACCUUUUAAAAUAUGAAGCACUAUCAAGGAGUGUGAUGAGAUGAAUGAAAAAAAUCUUGAAUUCGAAUCUUAUAAUAAAAAAAACUUUUAUAGAAAACGUCUCUCUUAAUGAAAUUUACAUGACAUGAAUUUAAAUUAGUGUAACUUAUAAACAAAAAUUUCAUCAAAGGAGAAUGAUUUUACCUGCCUUUCACGUUUCAAUGUAAUACCAAUUAUCGUGUAAAUAUAUACCUAACUAAAUUUACCAAACUAGGCCCUAAGAAUAAUUCAACCAAUCGUUUAAUAAUCAUGCUUUCAUGACCUAAUUAAUUCAGAUUUAUAUUAUGUAAGAUUCAUUAAAGGAAUAACCACUUUGAUCCCUAUCAAAAGUUUCUCAUUUUUUAGGAUUUGAACACUAAAUCAUUGAUUCUAGCAUUUGAAAUUCACCGAUUCAACUAAUUUUGAUUAGCACUACGUAGAGUUUAUUAAAAGGAAAAAUGCUUCCUAUGAAAAGUUUCUCGAUUCUCAGGGUUUGAACCAUGAAUCUCUGGUUCGAGUAUUCAAAAUUUACCAACCCAACUAAUUUAGAUUCGUACCAAUAGUUCCUCGAUUCCUAGAGAUUGAACCUUAAGGCCUAAACCUAUGAUUCUAAUAUUCAGAACUUAGUGACCUUAUUAAUCUAUUAAAGGAGAUAAGUUGUUUAUAGAAGGAAUUUCUUAAUUCUCAUGAUUCGAAUAUGAUACCUCUACUUGAAAGUCGAAAGAUCUUAUUUGUUCCACCAUACUCCUAUAUGAUUGUCAUUAUUCAACCUACUUAACUUUCAUAUUUAUCAUCAUUUUUUCACAUAACUAAUCAACAACUUGAUAUUGAAAGUUGAAAUAACCUCCCCUAACAUGGGUGGAAGUUAGUUCUAUAAUUAAACUACUCUAAGCAAACUCCUAUAAUUUGACAAUUAUUGCAAUCUAACAAAACCUAGACAAUUUAUGACAAUUAUUUCAUGACAAAUUAUGACAAUUAUUUCAUGAUAAUUUAAGGUUUUAAGUUCCAUCAUAAUAAAUCACAAUAAUUAAAUCAAGGGUAGUUAUCUUUUUUGUUUAUCGUUUUCCUUAGUUUUUCCUAUGGUGUAGAUAUUUUUAAAAAUAAUAAUAAUGCAAAUAUCAAUUUCUCCUUGAUUUGUUUAACCACAUUAUCAUAUUAAUUACUACAAAGAUUAAUCGAUGAUUUAUAAAUAAGUCACACAAUCUUAAGAAGUUAUAAAUAUACUAGACAAUUUUUUUCAAUUUGCUUAAAACCUUUAUGGGUAAAAUUAGUGAUGGAAAGUAGAAAAGAGUUAAUGGUCAAAAAUAUAUAUGAACUAUUAUUUGUUCUCAAGUUUCAUACUUUAGCUAUCUGUUAUUUUAUUUUCCUACCUGAAAUGUCACCAUCAUUUAUGUAGAAAAAGAGGAACAAUUAAUAAUUGUUAUGUAUUUUAAUACAUAUAUAGAUGAUAAUUUAAAUUGAAAAAAAAAACUUAUCGUUAGAAUGUAAAACUCGAAAAAGAAAAAGUAAUUUGACCAUUAUUUUACCCUACACAAAUAUAAAAAGAAAAAUUUCUCUAGUAAUUUGAUUUUCAAAAAAGAGCAAAGAGGGACAAUUUUUAAAUUUACCACCAUUGCUUGGAGACCAACUUCUCUAAAAGCACAUGCAAAUUCAGUACUUUUUAUUUUAUUUAUAAUAUAUUUAAACAUAAUUGUCAGUAGAAUAAUAAAAUAAUACCAAUACAAGAAAAGAAAAAGUCAACUAAUAUUUCAGAAAUCCUUAUGGCAAUCAAGAAAAUGCUUGACCCAAGAGGACAAUAAAAGAGGGGUAACAAGUCAAUCAAGAAUCAUCCAACUGAAAAAGUUCUGGACACAAGAAAACCAAUCAAUUUACAAAAUAAAUUAUUCAAAUAUUUGACUAGACACGAAAUUUAAGAAAAAAACGUAAGCUUCUAAACUUGUAAUAAACAAUUUGUUUGGCGAUGAAACCAACGCAUGCAAAGCCAAAUUCUUUAACCUAACAAUGACGAAAUGAGAAGAUGAGGUGCCUCAGGCAUCCGCACCCCUACUUAACAAGGGAUCAAAGGUUUUGGAAACAUAGCUUUCCUCACCCCUCUGAGUGGAGCAUGUUCUACUGAAAAUCGAGCUUGAAACUCUCACCUUUUAAUGAAAAUUUAGCAUAAACUAAAAAUAAAAUGUGUCAUAUCAAAGACAUAAGGAAUUAUAAUUUAUAGUAUAGUUCAAUAUUAGGAUGAAAAGACUACAAAAAACAGUGCUUAUACAGUACCUACUACAGUAUUACUCAUAGUAAUUUCCAUCUUUUCAAACUUUUUCCUUUUUUCCUUUUUCUGUGGGUGAUUCUGGACAAUAGUUUCUUGUAGGGGACUGUUUUUGUGAUGUUAUACAAAAAAUGGCCCACAGAUUCUAGAAAAUAAAGUUAUCAGAUGAUUGCACUAUCAAAUCUAUUUUCUUCACUAAGGUACAAUCCAACAGUUUCAUCUUUGUGAACCACAUCAUAUUUUAAUUUACAUAUAGCUCGGUGCACAAAACAUUUCAUAUUAGCAGGGUCCGGGGAAGGGCCACGCCUCAAGAGGUACAAUGUAGACAACCUACCCUAAUGCAAACAUUAGUGACUGCUUACACGAUCACACGGAGACAACUUUAUCGACUUCAUAUGUUAGUACUUAAUAAUACUCAAAAGAUCAUUGAUCUUUUCAUCCCAACUAUUGAUUUUCCUGAUUCAGGUCCAAUUUUCUUCUCUUGAUCCCCACCACCAAUGAUCUCAUCUUCCAUUUUGCCGUCAGUUUCUUCAUCUGGAGAAGCAACUCAGAAAUUAUUAAUAAUAUCAUAAUUCCCAAAAAGAAAAAUGAAGUCCAAAGGGGACAUAGUUGACAAUAUAGCUAUGUUGCUAGGUUUCUCCAAAAAUAUUGCCACCACGGUGUCGGAUCCUCCAAAAAGGCACUAUUUUUGGAGGAUCCGACAUGUGCUCGUCAACAGUUUUGAAGAGUCUAAGCAAACAUAGCAGUAUAGUAUGAUGCUAAAGCCAAAACUUGGAACUUUUUGGUCCUUGCUUUUCUGCUUUAGGAUUGAGAGUCGACCUCAACUAAUUUAGAAUCGAGAAAUAGUUGUUCCUAUAGUAGUUUUCUUUAUACUCCUUCGAUAUGUCGUUUAACGUUUGGCAUAUCCAAGAAAAUUAUUUGAUUAAUUAAUCAUAAGGGAUACAACAAAAACAACAACAACAUACAUAUCCGACCCAGUGAAAUACCACGAGUGGGGUUUGGAGAUGGUAGGAUGUAUGCAUGCCUUACCCCUACCUUUGUGGGGUAGAGAGGUUGUUUCCGAUAUAAUCACAAGGGAUAUUCCUUAAAACAAGUAUAAACGAUGAUAGGCCUUCUUAGUAUACAUCUAGAUUUAUGAGGGGCACUAGUUAGUAGUUAUUAUACUUUGGCACGAAAGAGAAGUAGUGAUACCUGAAGCAUUACCUAGGGAAAAUUCAGUAAGACGUCGGACACAAUCCUUGAGUGCUUGGAGCUCAGUUUCCUUCUCGUGGAGUUUCGAAUGAGUUUGGCGAAGCUCAGACUCUAACUCCACUAUCUGGCCUUCUUGUUGUUCAAUGAGCAGAUGACAAAGCUUUUGAUCCAGUUCAGAUGGCAAUACUCCACUGCAUUGAUAGGUUUCUGCAUUGCGGUCAUCAGCUUGGUUAAAUUCUUUCUCCAGAAAGUCAUCCUGUGCAGCAAAAGCCAAUAGUAAAACACUAGUUUGUGAAGCGGAACUAGAAGAUGGAAAAUCUUGUGUUAUCGACAUUUGCAUGUUCUGCAUUUAGCUAAUUGGUUAGAUGUUGGAGUUCCAAUGAUAGGUCUAAAUCAGAGAACAAAAUGUUCCAUGAACUUCGCUAUAAACCUCAAAAAGUGCGAACACAAAUAUUCCUAAUGCUAUAAGAAAAGUACCAGCACGGCCAUCUAUAGUUGCAAUUAAAUUCGAUUAAGAUAUUUAGGCCAUUAUGAGAAUGAUAAUCAACUUUACUAGUGUAAGAGAAGAAAUCCCACUUGAUUUGUUGUAACAUGGAUUCAUCCUUGUUAGGGAGCGCAUUGGGACUUCCCGGCACCAAUCGAGAUUUAGUAGGGCCCCAAUACAGGUACUGGACACCGGAUGAGAAACCAAAAAGAAAAAUGGAUUCAUCAUAGCCAUGAGGGGCUGUCCAACCAUUUCUAGUUAGAAAAAGUCCAAACAGCCUAACCUAAGAAUAACUUCCAAUUUUUGUUAAUGCUUAUGUGACUGUUUUAUCCAAAUUCAUGAUACCUCUUAACAAGAAUAACAUAAUGAUGUCCAUUUGGAUUGACCAAUUGCAAAUACUACUCUUUUCAGAUAUCACAUCGUUUUAGUCCAAACGCCUACUAAGUUACUACUUGAUAAGUAAAAAAAUAUACCGUUCAUCUGACCCUAUCACAAUUUGGUUAGUCAAAAAUUACCCUUUGACUAUGAUUUUUUCAAACAAUUUUUACACGUUCUAUGUUCAUGAAUUCUGACUUAGAAUUAUUUCUGAACAUGUAAAUUUUACAUAGAAACUUAAGGAACAGUUCUUUUUCAUACCGCAUCACUUUUUCUGGAUCGAGGCAGUAGUAUUGAUUUGUAUAUAACAACAUAUUACUUGCAUCAAGAUGAUGCUGGAAAGAUUUUUAGUAGAAUUUGUUUUAAAUGGACCCAACGAAAAUGUACUCAUUCACAAAUAUAGGUAAAUUAUUAAGAAGUUAGGAAACUACCAAAUUGUAGUGAAAACAUAGAGAUGGAAAAGAUAUGCAGGGUAGUCAAGAUCAUAUAGAGGAAAUUUAAUACACAAUGAGCUCACCUGACAAGGAUCUCUUCCUCCAUUCAAAUCCGUAUCUUCUGUAGAACACCAUGGAAGCUUUAGUAACUCGGAUUCGAGCUCAGCUUCCAGCUGAUCCAUUUCCAUAACCUCAGGUUGUAGCUCUUCUGUAACGACACUGCUUGCACAUUCACCUUCCUCAGCCACUUGGAGAUCUAGUGCUCUAUAAAUAUUCCUGUUUUCAUUGUUACUCUCAGCAAUUGCAUGUAUUCUACAUUCUCUAUUAUUCUUUUCAUCUAUGUCGCCUUCAUUCUUCGAAGCACACAGGUUAUGUGCAACUCUUUUCCUAGAAAGUUCAGCUUUUAAUUCCUCUACAGCUUUUGCAGUUUCAUCCAUGGUAGUGUUAAGCCUAUUGAUCUCAGAUUUCCCAGCUGACAUCAUGCACAUCAUUCCAAUUCCGAGUCCAUAACCAAAAAAUGAAUUCCCUGGAAGAUGUAAAGCACAUUAAGAAAGGGAAUCUAAAAAAAAUGCAUAGGGCAGCAAAUGAUAUAUAGGUUCACGGUUCACCCAGUGUUAUCAAAGGCGCGCUUAAGCCCUGAAGCGAGGCUCAAAAUAUUUUGAGCGCUUCGCCUGGCUUUAUGUGCGCUUCAGUGUCUUCAUGAAGGUUCUAAGACAUACUUUUCCUUGCCAAUGAGCAGAAGUGACACUAAACAAUUGAUAUGUCACUUUAUCAUAAUUUUUUUUAAAAAUUUCUUUGGUCAUAUAUUUGUCAUUCAUGUUUAUAAUUAUUAGACUUGGACUAAACAUAUAUAUUUGUGGUUUUUUCUCCCUUUGCGCCUUUUUUCAUUAAAGCCCACACUUUAUUUGCGUUUUGCGCUUAAAGCCCCCACGGACCUUAGAGCCUUUUUGCACUUUUCGCCUUUGAUAACACUGGGCUCACCUACUUGGAGCAACUUAAUAUAAGAGAUAAUAUUCACUCCAAUAAGACUAUCAAAGUAACAUACACAAGUAGAAAAUUUAGAACUAAACAGGAAGAGUAACUAUUCUUUUACGUCAUCAAGUCCAACCAAUAAGAUAGUAGUAGUAUGCAUCGAGCUUAUUUAAACUGUUGUUUCUUUUACAUUGAUCAUCUUAACUAUUUCCGCUGUCAAUAUUCUUCUUUUCUAUGAUAUUUUCAUCUCAGCUUCUUUAUUCUUGUAUUUUCCAAACCUGUUUUGUAAAAUGUUUUUUCUUGAACCGAGGGUUUAUUGGAAACCACCUCUCUACCCCUCAAAGGUAGGGGUAAGGUCUAUAUAUACCUCACUUGUGGAAACACACUAGGUAUGAUAUUGUUGUUGUUGUAGUUUGCAUCGAGCCAUGACAGGAUACCAGCUGACCAGAGAAAGUAAAUACAGUGAUGAAAGACAGUUCCAUAAGUGGCAUUCUAUACUAAUUGUCUCGUUCCCACCCUUCAAUGCACCCAUCCCCACUCUUCCCCCAUAGCCCCCAUCCCUACCACCCCAGACCCCGUCCGACAACCCCAUCUGCUAUAUUGUUUGCCUAAAUUACAUAUAAAUGACUUGUGAUGAUAUAUUUGCUUACUUACCAAGCACAAAAGACUAGUAAGCAGACUGCUUAUUUUCCAAGAAAACAUUUUCCUUCGUACCAAACGCACCCUAAGAUACUCUUUUUUUUAUCAACACAACAGUUUUCUGUAAAAAUUACCAAAAGACUUAAACAGUAUAAAGCUCUCUUUCAAUUAGCAAUCUGAAAAUCCCAAAAGCGAAUCCAAAUGGAAGCAUACUUGUUCCGCACAUUCAUUGGUAUAAGUAAACCUAGCAAUUUUUGACAAGAUAUGGUUUUGCUCUCAACAUGAGAGAGCUAAUGUUUUGGAGCUUUAUACUUAUUGGGAUCUGGCAUCUUACUGCUUAAUUCCACAAUCAGGUGAAAAGUUGUUUUGAUUCCACCAGCAGUUGACCGAGCUAUUUAACAGGAAAAAGAAAUGGUGUCUGGUUAUUGAAUCAAAAUGCAGAUUAUCAUCUUCUCUAUGGUACUAUUGGUCAGACUCAUUUAACACAGGACACGAGAAAACCUCGCCAACCCCAUUCAAAAGAAAAAUUAAGACAUAGAAGAUGAAUAGGAGAGUAGAUCACAUAGCUAAAACAUAAAUUGAACAUUUAGUGAAUUUAAUAUAUUGCAAAAGUAACAUUAUCGGUAUAUAUGAUGACUAUGCUAAACAAUGUACAAAAGCUACUCUGCUGAUGCACCAUUGCACUAGUGUAACUCUUCUCUCAAAAUUUUGCUAAAGGUAAAUAAAUAGUCAUACUACUUGAAGCCACCAUUCUUUAGCUUCAGGCCCCACACCUUUGAACGCGAUUAAUAUAGGACGGUUGAAAACCUCUCCAUCUGAUUAUGGAAGUUGUAAUUCCAAUUUGAGUUUUUCACAUCUCUUUUUAUUGGUUUCCAACCUAGUGUCCGGUACCUACAUUAGAGCCCCCGAGUAAAUCUGGAUUCCAUCCGAAAAGUCCCACAUUGGGGGUAAAGCGCUCCCUAACAAAGGCGACUCCAUACCUAUGCAAGACUAAUUUUCUACUUACAUUCCAUAACAAACACAAUUAUCAACCAACACAUUCAAAAUUAGAGUGUCAUGAUGUUUCUAUGAACAAACGAUAGUGGACUUGAGAGCAACAUUAGCUAAAUGAGAAAUUGUGAUCCACAAUUAAAUUGAAACACAGUCCCUACCAAAGCAUACUAUUGCAUUAAAGUGACAGAAAAGAAAAUGUACAAUAUAUAUAUAUAAUAUUUUAGAAAGUUUACCUUUGGAAGCACAAGAAUCACAUUUCCCUGAAGGAACUUUAUUAGUUCUCCUCUUCUUUAAACAAACAUAAAAUCUCUUCCCAUUCCUUCUCUUCCUCUGAUCCAACCUAACCAAUUCCUUUUCACCACUCCUCACAUUUCCACAUUUUCCCCCUAAUUUCCCACCACUUUUUCCCUUCCACUCCAUCACAUUCCCUUUGGUCUUUCUAGAACCUUCCACAUUUUUCUUCCUCAAUUUCCUAAACCCCAUUUCAGAACCAGAAGCACUUGAAAACCUAAAAAUUGACCCAUCAAAAAACCCCUCACACUUUUCUUGAAUGUUACAGCCAAGAUUACAUACAAAGCUUGAAUCUUUAUGCUGAAAGGGAGUGUUAAGCCCUUCUGGAUCAAAGGGUUUAUCAAAAUUACUGAUAAAGAUUGAAUCUUUAUGCCCUUGUGGGUUAAAGGGUUUAUCACAUAUACUGGUAAAGAUUGAAUCUUUAUGCUGAAAGGAAGUCAUAAACUCUUCUGGAUCAUUGAGUUUAUCACAUUUACUGUCACUUGCAGUGGAACCAGAGAUGGGUUCAGUGGCAUUUUGGUUAAAGAUUUUCUUGGCUAAAAAACCAGAUCCUGCUGCUGCUGCAACUACUAAAGCUGGCCACAUUUGGGUGUUUUUUUCUCUCAAGAUUUUAGACAAGGGGUUUAAGAUUUUGAACAAAAUCAGAAACUAGAGAGAUCACAUUCAAAAAUUGCUAGUAAAUGUUGUUGCAGUUCAUAAUAAUAACCAAGUGAAAGUGACAAGCUUUGAAUUUUGUCUAUGUGACAUGUGGUGGGGGCUGGGGGUGGGGGUAUACGUGGCUUCUCAUAUAAAGUUUGCUCACGUGCUUCCCGCUUACUUAUAAUUUUUUCAAUUUUUUGUGGUCUUUGGUCUUUUAAGAAGGCCUAAAGAUGGAGAUUUUGGGCCAAUUUACAAAGGCCUAACCCAUCGGUGGCCCCCUAAACUUGGCACGAUCUUUCACUUAGACACCUCAACUGAAGGAUUUUCAUUUUAAACACCUAACGUAGGGUUCCCAUGUGUUACUUUAACACUUUUUACACAGACAUCUGUUGACUAUAAGCGCGUGCAAGACAACCGUUCUACGUGGAUUAACUGACCAAUUAUAUGAUGCCAACUCUUAAACCUCUUUACACGUCGUUUUUUUUCAAACUAAAAGAAAAAUGGAACCAUUUUUGUGAUUUUUCAACUUCCUUCUUACGAUUCUCUCUCUUCUCCGAGAAAACCCUAGGUAAAUCUCCCUUCUCGUCACAUGUAUUUCUUUGUUUUUUCUUCAAUUCGUUGUUAGUAAUAACCAUUGUUGUAUUUUAUGUCGCCAUUUUUCAGGUUUAAGGUUGUAUUGACGAGGUAUCGGGCUGUGCGACAUUGGAGAAAUUGAAGAAAUUAAAGGUAAUGGUGUGUUUUGUUUUCUACCUUUGUUUUUGUUUUCUUCAAGAAGGUGUAUAUUGUUGUUGAAGGUGUAUAUUGUUGUUGAUUCCACUUUUUUUAUUUUCAGUUUUAAUAUAGGUUUUGGCUGGUAAAGUAAGGGGCUUUUUGGGUAUUUCCUUUUAUUGGGGUCUUCUUUUCGAGAUAUGGACAGCUAUAUUUUAACUUGUUUUCAUCAUGGGGGGUGUGUUGUUGGAAACCCUAACCCUACUUACCAACGAGAAGUAGAUGUAUUUGGUGUUGGCAUAGAUAAAGACCAUUUUAGUCUUGUCGAGUUUCUUUCCUACACUAAAGACCUUGGGUAUACAAAUGUGAAGGGAUUUUACUGUGAAGAUAACAAUGAAUUAGUUCAAGUUACUUCUGAUACUCAAUUGUUAGAAUUUGUGAAAGACUUGGUAGAUGGUGAUGACUGUUGAUGAAUCUGUGGGUAUAAAUACUGAGGGAACUGUGGAGAAUGAUUCUGAUUUGAAUGGAGUUGAUACAGAAUUGCCUGGAGGUGAUACAAAUCAAAAUGAAGUUGAAUCAGAUCUGCCUAGUAGUGACACAGAUGUAGAUGUUAUUCCAGAUGAAGAUGAUUCAGAUGUUGAUGAAGAAUUGAGAUCCCUUAGGGCUGAAAGGAGAAACAAAAGAAAUCCUAAUCUUAGGAAGAAAAGAGAUAGGGAGAAGAAAACAAUAACUAAAGAGGUACCAAUAGGUGAGGCUGGUGUGGAUAGAGGUUUUGAAGAUAUUGGAAUAAAUAAAAAGGAUAGAUAUGUUGGCAGAUUGGGAGGAGAUGAGAAGUAUAUUGAUAUCUCAGAAUGUGAUAGUGAUGAUAGCACUGAUAUACUAGAUGCAGAAGCUGUUGGAGGUGUUGAUCUACCAGGCAGAAGAAAGAGCAAAAAGGUCAGGUAUGAUGAUCAAUGUACUGUUGCUAUUUUUGAACUUGGAAUGAUUUUUGAGAAUGCUAAGGAAUUUAGAAAGGCUUUGGCAAAAUAUGCUGUUGAAAAAAAUUAUCAGAUUAAGUUAAGGCCUAAUGAAGCUCAUAGAGUGAGAGCUAAAUGUAAAUUCAAAGAAAAAUGCAAAUGGUUGUGCUAUGGUGCUAUUGAUAGGGAUUCUGGUAACUUUAUGAUUAAAAAUUAUUAUCCUAUACACAAGUGUUUACCUUCAAAUAAGAACAAAAUGUGUACAACUAAGUUCCUAGCAAGUAGAUUCAAGGAUGAAAUAACUAAACAACCAUCUUUGAGGAUUUGGGAAAUACAAGAAUUGUGCAGGGAGGAGUUAGGACUAAAAGUGGGUAGAACAAUUUGUUACAAAGCAAAGAUGAUGAUUCUUAGAGAAAACAUGGGUGACUGGAAUAUGGAAUUUGCAAGGUUAUGUGAUUAUGCUGAAGUCAUAAAACAAACCAAUCCUGGUAGUUCUGUUUGGGUAAGGAUGGAUAGAGAAACUAUACCAGGAAAGAAUUUGUUUGUGUACUUCUAUGUAUGCUUGGAUGCAUUGAAGAAAGGGUGGAAGGAAGGAUGUAGAAGAAUAAUAGGAUUUGAUGGAUGUUUCUUAAAGGGUGCUUGUAAGGGUGAACUUCUUGUAGCAGUUGGAAGAAAUGGAAACAAUCAGAUGUUUCCUAUAGCCUGGGCAGUUAUGGACAAGGAGACUAAACAUUGCUGGAGUUUCUUUAUCAACUACUUGAAAGAGGACCUGCAGUUGGGUACUGGACAGGGUCUUACUGUAAUGUCAGAUAUGCAGAAGGUAAUUGUCUAUUACUUUGAUAAUUGUAGAUAUGCAGAAAUGUAUUUUCUUUCUUGAAUUGUAUUGAAUUCUAUUUUAUUGUAGGGUCUUCAAGCAGCUGUUGGUGAACUGCUGCCAAAUGCUGAAGUUAGAAUGUGUGCUAGACACAUCUGGUCUAAUUGGAGUAAAAGAUGGAAGGGAGAGGAAAGGAGAAAACAAUUCUGGAGAUGUUCNNNNNNNNNNNNNNNNNNNNNNNNNNNNNNNNNNNNNNNNNNNNNNNNNNNNNNNNNNNNNNNNNNNNNNNNNNNNNNNNNNNNNNNNNNNNNNNNNNNNNNNNNNNNNNNNNNNNNNNNNNNNNNNNNNNNNNNNNNNNNNNNNNNNNNNNNNNNNNNNNNNNNNNNNNNNNNNNNNNNNNNNNNNNNNNNNNNNNNNNNNNNNNNNNNNNNNNNNNNNNNNNNNNNNNNNNNNNNNNNNNNNNNNNNNNNNNNNNNNNNNNNNNNNNNNNNNNNNNNNNNNNNNNNNNNNNNNNNNNNNNNNNNNNNNNNNNNNNNNNNNNNNNNNNNNNNNNNNNNNNNNNNNNNNNNNNNNNNNNNNNNNNNNNNNNNNNNNNNNNNNNNNNNNNNNNNNNNNNNNNNNNNNNNNNNNNNNNNNNNNNNNNNNNNNNNNNNNNNNNNNNNNNNNNNNNNNNNNNNNNNNNNNNNNNNNNNNNNNNNNNNNNNNNNNNNNNNNNNNNNNNNNNNNNNNNNNNNNNNNNNNNNNNNNNNNNNNNNNNNNNNNNNNNNNNNNNNNNNNNNNNNNNNNNNNNNNNNNNNNNNNNNNNNNNNNNNNNNNNNNNNNNNNNNNNNNNNNNNNNNNNNNNNNNNNNNNNNNNNNNNNNNNNNNNNNNNNNNNNNNNNNNNNNNNNNNNNNNNNNNNNNNNNNNNNNNNNNNNNNNNNNNNNNNNNNNNNNNNNNNNNNNNNNNNNNNNNNNNNNNNNNNNNNNNNNNNNNNNNNNNNNNNNNNNNNNNNNNNNNNNNNNNNNNNNNNNNNNNNNNNNNNNNNNNNNNNNNNNNNNNNNNNNNNNNNNNNNNNNNNNNNNNNNNNNNNNNNNNNNNNNNNNNNNNNNNNNNNNNNNNNNNNNNNNNNNNNNNNNNNNNNNNNNNNNNNNNNNNNNNNNNNNNNNNNNNNNNNNNNNNNNNNNNNNNNNNNNNNNNNNNNNNNNNNNNNNNNNNNNNNNNNNNNNNNNNNNNNNNNNNNNNNNNNNNNNNNNNNNNNNNNNNNNNNNNNNNNNNNNNNNNNNNNNNNNNNNNNNNNNNNNNACAACAUCAAAAUACUACUAGAUCGAACACCAAAUACAACAUCAAAAUACUACUAGACCAAACACCUGAAGAUCACUAACAAUUAGACUUCAAUUUCCAUAUUCCAAACAUCAGCAACCCAGUAGCAACGACACCAACAAUAAAUAUAUUUUUUGCUCGCUUUAAUUUUUUCAUCAAAAGCAUUGACUUUCUUCAACAAUCCCCACAUUACCCUGUUUGCUUGUGGAGAGUGUCGAUCUUCAUACCAAAGAAAAUAGUCACAACCACCCAUUUUCUAUAAAACCAAUCAAAAAGAAUUAGACGCUAACAAUUAAUCAUCUAAUUGACUUGAAAAAAAUAAGGGAACAAAGAAUUUUACCUUUGAAAUUCUACAAGUAAAAAAUCUACGCCCUGGAUUUAAUUGGGUCCAUGAAGUCUUUAAUAGUGCUUCAUUACCACACCUACAAUAUCGACCUUCAUCCACAGAUGCCAUGGAAGAAUUGGAGAAGCUCGACAUGAAAUUAUUAAGGGCCAAGAAUUAAAGAAAGGCUGAAGAAGAGAGAAAUUGGAAAAGAAUAGACAAAUUGGGGUCUUAGUUAUGGUACAAUUGGAGAAAAAAUAAUAUAAAUAGAUGAUAUGGAGUAAUAUUACCGUUGGGGACGCCACAUCAGACGAAAAUUUGAUGUUUACGCGCCUUGAAUGAGUGAAAAUCACGCGACACUCCACCUGUGUAAAAAGUGUUAAAGUAACACAUGGGAACCCUACGUUAGGUGUUUAAAAUGAAAAUCCUUCAGUUGAGGUGUCUAAGUGAAAGAUCGUGCCAAGUUUAGGGGGCCACCGAUGGGUUAGCCCAUUUACAAACAAUCCAUUAAGAAAACCUCUAUUGCAGGCAUGGUAUGGUAGAUAUCGAAUAUCAUGGUGAAAUUGAAAUUUUUAAUAUUGUGAUUUGAGUUUUAUAAUAUUUGAUAUGGUAUCUUAUAUGUGUUUAUUUUAAAAUUUUAGUAUUUGGUAUUUAUAAAAAAAAAUACUGAAAUAUCGUAUCGAAAUAUAUAGUUACGUAUAAAAUUCAUAUAUAUAUAUAUAUAUAUAUAUAUAUAAAACUAAUUAUUUAGAUGUUGAAAUUUUGAUUAGUCUGUCUUGAUUUAUAUGUACUUUUUGGGUGAGUGAUUGAGAGAGUUGUUUGUACUUUAUUUUUGAAUAUUUUUACAUGUAUAAGGUAUUAGUAUGAUACAAUUGAGAUAUUUCUUGAAAAGCCCUUUCAUAAUUCUUUAUUACACUAAUAUAUGUAAGUUGAAGACUUAAAGUUGACCAAACUAUGGUAACCGAUUUACCGUAUAAUAAAAUAUCAAAAUCAAACUUUAAAAACGGUAAGGUUUUCAAUACCGUACCACGCCCACCCCUCUCCAUUUGUGGUGUUGGUUAAUUUAGCGGGGUUCAAGUAUAGAUUUUGGACAAAUAUGAUUUUCAAAUGUUUUAAGCUUUGAAAUAUAUCUAGCUAGAAUUCAAAUAGAUCUUGCUAUAAAUAUAUUUUCGAUAAAUGUUACUCCUAGACUAUGCCUUGGAGUUCAAUGAAAAUUGUGAAGUUUAAACUUAUAAAAACGAACUCAAACUUUUUAAGAACUCAUAAAAGUUGAAAUUCAAACCGUCAGUUUUAACUCGAAGAACACUUUAUGGGGUCUAAUAUUUCAUGUUAGCAUUGAAAUUUAAAGAUUUUUAUGUUAUAGUAUGAUCAUGUCACCGUCUAAACGAUACUUCAACAAUUAAAAAAUUAAAUUAAAUUAAUUUUCAAACGUAGACUAAAGUUUGAUUAACCGUUCAAAAGGUGGAUACUUUCCCAUUUCUCCCUUUCUAAUGGUACCUGAGAUUUUUGCUUUACCUUUACAUAGUAAAUGUCAUUCAAUACAUACAUGCGAUAAGAAUAUUAAUCUCGAGAUUAUAUUUAAGAUUAACUUGGUCCAAAUUUAAUUUGAGGUAUCAGUUAAUCCCGCAAUUAUCAUCUCAUAUAGAAGGUGAGAUAAAACAAUCUCAUGAAAAAUCUUGCUCAUCUCAUCUCACAUACCAAACGACUCAUAAAAGAGAUGGACAUGCAAGUAAAUUAAAGGAAAAAACUACAGAGCAAGCAAUUCCUUGCAAAAUGAGAGCUAUAACUGCAUGACCAGAUCAUAUUAUAAAAACACAACACAUCAUUAUUUCAGUAUGAAGAAAAAAUAGAAUUUCUUACUAAAAUAUUGGUCCAAAUUACUAUAUAUUAAAACAAAAGGCAGCUCUCAUCAAACUUUGACUAUUUUUUACUCCAAAAGAAUUUGCAAAGAGUGUAGGAGCAAGUACACUAUAUCUUGUAGUAACUAGUUACCUGUUAUACUUUCCUUCUUGAUCCAUUUACAAACAUUUUAAAAAACAUAAAUGGCACUUCAAAACUAGAAAGAUGUCCAAGUAAAGUAAGUAGCGAUAAACAACGUCUAAGAAGUACGUGAACCUCCAAACCAUCAAAUCCGAGUUGGUCAAGCUGGUUCAACAUCGAGUUCCACUCUAUUGGAAUAUCUGCAACAGUCAAAAGGAGAAAGAAUCAAAG